AGAGUUUGAUCUUGGCUCAGGACGAACGCUGGCGGCGUGCGUAAUACAUGCAAGUAGAACGCUGAAGAGAGGAGCUUGCUCUUCUUGGAUGAGUUGCGAACGGGUGAGUAACGCGUAGGUAACCUGCCUUGUAGCGGGGGAUAACUAUUGGAAACGAUAGCUAAUACCGCAUAACAAUGGAUGACACAUGUCAUUUAUUUGAAAGGGGCAAUUGCUCCACUACAAGAUGGACCUGCGUUGUAUUAGCUAGUAGGUGAGGUAAUGGCUCACCUAGGCGACGAUACAUAGCCGACCUGAGAGGGUGAUCGGCCACACUGGGACUGAGACACGGCCCAGACUCCUACGGGAGGCAGCAGUAGGGAAUCUUCGGCAAUGGGGGCAACCCUGACCGAGCAACGCCGCGUGAGUGAAGAAGGUUUUCGGAUCGUAAAGCUCUGUUGUAAGUCAAGAACGGGUGUGAGAGUGGAAAGUUCACACUGUGACGGUAGCUUACCAGAAAGGGACGGCUAACUACGUGCCAGCAGCCGCGGUAAUACGUAGGUCCCGAGCGUUGUCCGGAUUUAUUGGGCGUAAAGCGAGCGCAGGCGGUUUGAUAAGUCUGAAGUUAAAGGCUGUGGCUCAACCAUAGUUCGCUUUGGAAACUGUCAAACUUGAGUGCAGAAGGGGAGAGUGGAAUUCCAUGUGUAGCGGUGAAAUGCGUAGAUAUAUGGAGGAACACCGGUGGCGAAAGCGGCUCUCUGGUCUGUAACUGACGCUGAGGCUCGAAAGCGUGGGGAGCGAACAGGAUUAGAUACCCUGGUAGUCCACGCCGUAAACGAUGAGUGCUAGGUGUUGGAUCCUUUCCGGGAUUCAGUGCCGCAGCU
Molecule: ribosomal RNA, 863 nt
Filed under: uncultured bacterium
Lineage: Bacteria
Description: bacterial SSU rRNA
Rfam family: Bacterial small subunit ribosomal RNA
Source: RNAcentral